UACGGAGGGUGCAAGCGUUAUCCGGAUUUACUGGGCUUAAAGCGUGUGUAGGCGGACUUCUAGGUACCUUGUGAAAUCCCACGGCUCACCCGUGGAACUGCUCGGUAUACUGGUCGUCUUGAGCCUUCUAGGGGCGAGUGGAACAAAUGGUGGAGCGGUGAAAUGCGUAGAUAUCAUUUGGAACGCCAAUGGUGAAAACAACUCGCUGGGGAAGUGCUGACGCUGAGACACGAAAGCCAGGGGAGCGAACGGG
This 253-nucleotide ribosomal RNA is filed under the name uncultured bacterium. RNAcentral's name for it is "partial 16S ribosomal RNA". It matches the Rfam family "Bacterial small subunit ribosomal RNA", at positions 524 to 776 of the family's 1533-position model. The record is from RNAcentral.